This is a non-coding RNA of Paramuricea clavata, 91 nucleotides long. Lineage: Eukaryota; Metazoa; Cnidaria; Anthozoa; Malacalcyonacea; Plexauridae. The record is from the annotation of a GenBank genome assembly.
UUCCGGAAAGUACGUCACUUUGGCCAUAGAGCCUCGCUUUCAUGUACGUAAAAAACGAGGCUCUAUGGCCAAGGUGACGUACUUUCCGGAA